AAGUCUAACCACUUUUUGCCAAAAUUUUACAUGGUGUUCAGUUCCAUUAUACAAAAUGAUGUAUCAAAAUUCAAAAAAAAAUUAGAAUAGAAGAACUAAACACCCUCUAAUUAUACAAAAUGAUGUACCAAAAUUCAAAAUUUUUUAGAAUCAAAGAACUAAACACCCUCUAAAUGCCCUGCUUGUUUGCAACUAAGUUACACGGAUACGGAUACGUGUAUCAGUAUCCGAAGGAUACGGAUACGCGGAUACGGCAAUUUCCUAAAAAACCCGAUACGUGGAUACGUUUACUAUUUAAAAAAUAAAAUUAAAAUAAUAAUAAUGCAUGUCUGAAUUUUAAACUGGUAAAAACAAAACAUCACAAUGAACUACUCAAGAGUAUUAUUAUUACAACAUAGCAGCAGCAGAUUCCUAUUUGGCUAUUCCUCAUUUGUUUCAUUGUCAUUGUCAUCCACAAUAUCAACAGAUGGCUCAUCCAGACCAAAAGACACCGCUUGCAGUUCAGGUUCAUCAAGGGACAGAUCAGCCACUUCUAGAAUGCCAACACCACCAAGUGAAUCAAAAGAAUCCCCUCCUACAUCCCACAUCCUUGUUUCUCCUGUCUUGUAUGCAUCAGUUCUUCUUGAUAGAUGUCUCAGAUUUGAGUGCACAAAGACCAAAUCUUCAGCACGCUCUGGAGUUAAGACAUUUCUCUUGACACUAUGGACAAAGCUAUAGGUGCUCCAGUUUCUUUCACAGCAAGAAGAUGACGCUGGCUGGCUAAGUGUAACAUUCCAAAAAUUCACAUUCAAAAAUCACUCGCAUUAAAAGAAUUAUUUUCAAAAUAUAUUUCAAAAACUAUAAAUCAUUUGAGCUCUAUAGUAUCUCCAUCUAAUUCUUUUUCCAUCCAUUCUAAUUAUCCAUCUUUAAAUAUAACCUGCACCGCAUGGCAUGAGCAUCAUAUGUCCGCUACUUAUCCCUCUUGCUCGCUCGCUCUGCCCGAUACCCGGCAACGGCGCGUGCGCCGACCCCACCACCAUCAGCGCCGCAGCGCACUCACGCCCGGCCCCCUCGCCGAGCGCACUCGCUCGCGCGCGCACCGCGGCAUGCGGGCCCCACCUCUUGCCUUUUCCCGCGCCUCUUUUGCUGUACAAAAAGAUAGCAAGUACCAGCAAGCUUACAUGCGAGAAAACAUAGCAGUGCACCUACACGAAUAUAUAUCUCAUGCAUGCAUGCAGGACAAGCAUGCCACCGUCCAUUUGCAUGCACCUGCAUGCAAAGGACAUGGUGAUUAGGCACCGUCCAUUUGCACGCACCGUGCAUGCAAAUGAGACAUUGCCAUUUGCAUGAAAAUUAGGCACCGUCCACCGUCCUGUCGUCCUGUGCCAUGCACUACAGUAGUAAUUCUAAUGGCACGAAGCUGAGCACCAGAGGCAUAACCUCACUCCUCUGGCUAUAAAAAGCCAGCCUCGGAUGCUCACUCUCACCACCCGAGAAACACGUUCACUCACUCGCUCACUCACUCUCACUUCGCGUAUACCGUAUACGGCCAUACGCACAAGCUGAGCUCGACUGUCGUCGCAAGACGAGGUGAGCAGCUCAUGAGCAUCUCCUUGCUCUUCUCUGUCUUUCUGUAGUAUUUUUUCUGUAUUUUUCCAUGUAUUUGUCUGUACCGGUUCACUGCCAAGAAUUCCACGAAUAGAACCAUGACAUACAGAAGAGUUCUAAUGACCCCUGCUAAUUUCUCUCUAACCAUGCAUGUGUGGGCCAAGCAUUAACUCCAAAUAGUACAUGCAUGCAUGCAACAUGCACUACCAGCCAAACAAAUGCCCACGUGAAGCAUCCAUUCCUUAAUCAUCGUUAGCCUUUUUCGCAUGAUUAAAUUCCGGCCAUUUCACAAAUGCCACAUGCUAACUCUGAUUUCAAUAAUUCUUUUUCCUAAAUUCAUCUAAAAUCAUGAUCUAGCUUCCAUAUUAAUUUCAUGAUUUUUGGAGCUCAUUUAAAUUUAUAUGAUUAUUUAUCUGUGCCUGUUGUCUGUGUCGUUCGUCGCGUAUUUUAGUUGACGGAGUGAACGAGCCGGAAAACGAGAACGUUGGAGACGAGUACCGCGAGUUUGACGCCGAGGACCCGGACUGUCAGCAGGAGUUUACCGAGGACGCCGACGGAGGCAAGUCCAACCGAUCCCCUUUGAUGCAUAUUGAUCCUAUUUUUAAACACAACCCGUAGAAGCCGUUUUAAAUAUUGCAUGUACGAUAUAUGUACGGAGUAUUUUUGCUGCUUAGUUAAAACCUGUUGAAUAGCCAUCCUUGAAUUGAUAUUACCCGGUAAUUGUCUUGUUCGAACCUAGGAACAAAUAAUAUGCUAUGACAGAAAUAUUAUUAUUUAGUAUGCUUAGGACUUGUUACUCAUCCUGUAUACUCAUCGCUAUAUUUUUCAAAUAUAAUGAUUUUAAAAGUAAAAGGUGUGAGUGGUGAAAAUAAAUUGUGGGUAUUGUGAAAGGGUUAAUGGACAAGUUAUAGAUGUGAUCUCUAUGGAGAUGGGGCGGAUGGGAUCUCUUUUGGGAUGCCCUGGUGUUGUGGCUUAUACCUUGCGGGGUUAAGCGUGAAGAUAUCCGCCUUGUCUCGAUUAAGGACUGAGUUGAUGAUUCAUCUUGCCUAACUCAUUUAUCGUACAACCACUCGCCUUGCAUGGGAAAGGCUUAGUCUAAAUCCCUCUAGUUAGUAUGACAAUCACCUGGAGGCAGGUGUGCAACAGGACACUAAGUGAUGUAUGUGAAAUUGUGAAAAUAUAUGAAAAGAGCUUUGUGAAUUAUUGUGGUAUCAUGAGAUGUGGCCUUAGUGUUCCCGUGGUGAGCGUCAUUACUUAGCUAUGGAGGGUAAUGACUUUGAUGGAUCUGUGCUUGCACGACGGUGUAAGUUAUGGUAUCCUACUUGUGGGAAAAGUGUACAACCUCUGCAGAGUGUAAAUCUAUCUGGAUAGCCGUGUCCGCGGUCUCGGACGGGUUAUGGUUUGGUUUCAACAACUAGAUGGGUUGGGAUGAGUGAAAACAUGUGAGAGUGUGAUUUUGGAAAUAAAUGGUUGACUGCCAUUGUGUUGUGGGAACAAGGGUUCAACAACACUUAAAAUUGUGAUCAAACCCCCAUUUUCAGAAAUACUAUCAUAUGUGGAAAAAGAGGUCUUUUACAACAGUAUUUGUGAAAUGAAACCUUGCAUGUGUAAAAAGAUAGCUUUAUGCAAAUAAAACUAAGCCUCAUCCUUGAUUUAUCCAUAUACAUAUAUACUGUUAUCCCCUUCCGUAGGGUAAGGUUGGAUUUGCUGAGUACUUUGUACUCACCCUUGCUUUAUUAAACAGAGGAAGAUCCGGACUUCGAUCCCGAAGUGGCGUUCGAGUAAGGUCGUGUCUGCACCCAACUAAGCCUGUGGCAUUGGGACUCGUCAGAUGUUCGAUGGCGAUAUCAUUUGUUUCUGGGUCCUUUGGACCUGUGUUGUAUUUUGGUGUCUUAUUAUUAUAGCGUGCCUUCCUUGUCCACGCUUUCCAAGACUACUGCGCUGAAACUUAUCUGAUGUAAUAAAUGUGUUACUAGCCUCCUGGGACUAGUAUUGUAUCACAUUUGAGUUCCUGGUUUACCAGGGGCGCUUCAGGUGGUAUCAGAGCCGUAGUUGGCUGUAGGACGCGACCUUAGGCUUUUCUGGACUAGUAUUUUACUAAAUAAACAUAUUUUACAAAAGUUCUUACCCUCUUCCCUCUAUUUGAAAAAAAAAAUAUUUACUCUCAUCUAUGUCUCUCAGAUGGCCGAAGGAGUUUGGACCAACAGUUACUGUCCAAGUGUAGAAGGCUUUCCCAAGCUCUUGUAUGCUACCAUGCAGAAACUUGGAAUCAAGGAUCGCCCAGAAUAUGAAGGCAGAGAAUAUGAAGAGCAUGAGACCGAGCGGUGUGAAGUUACCGUCUAUAUUGGGAAAAGUGAGGACUUUCCUAACAUAGCUGAAGCUUGGAGUAUGACUACGAUCGGAUUUCGGUUUGCAGAUACAUAUCAAGCCGUCGCCCGCAAAGCCUUGAGGUACCUAUGCCAGAUCUACGAGAAGCCCAUCACCCGUACACCUAUGAGGUUCUUUCCACCCGACGAAAAAGACCGACCAGUUUGGAGGACCCGCAUGGAGCUCUUGCAAGGACAUUACUCACUUGAAGAUGACCCAACUGUGGUAUUCAUGACCACGUACCUUCUUGCUCUAGAUAAGCAAUAUGAUGAGCAGGCCUCGGAGUUAAGAAAAUGCAUCCAUCGUGCGUAGGAAGCCGAGAUCAUAGUUAGAAAGCUCCAUGUGCAGCUUGCAGAAGCUCAGGCCCAAGCAGCUGCAGCCGAGAGUCGUGAAACCACCAUUGCUGAAGACCGCCAUGCUCAGGAGUUGAAGGAUGCCUACCUUAUCACCAGGAUCAAAAGAAGGAUGUUAGCAGUGGAAGACCAAGAGCCCAUAAUCCUAAAAGGAAUCCCAAUCAUGUCCCUAAAAACCAAAAGCAAGAUGGACAUAGAAGGGCCAUCAGCUCCCCCACCCACAGAAGCCUCUCAUGAAGCUUUAGAGUUGGAGCCCAGUAAGGAAGAAGGAUUUCCCCUCCUCACGCAGCCACCACCAAGGGAAGACGGUGACCCACCUCUUAGUCCAAAAGAAGAACCACAAAUGCCGGAAGCAUGAUCCUCCUCAACACCAAGGGAAUGAAGCCGUUCUGUCCGAAGAAGUUGAAGAAUAGUAACACCUAGUUCCUCCUUAUGUCUUGGGGAAGUGAAGUUUACUUCACUUUUGUUCAACCCCCAAAGUAGAUGAACCGUAUUGUAGUACGCUUAUUUCCUCCAUUACUAUGUUGUAAACCGCCCUCUUAUUCAAAAUAUAUAUUUGUGCUUGUUGGUUGUGCUAAAUAAUUGAGUGCUCUAUGUUGUUCCCUUACGGGAUAGCAAGUCUUAAGACUUGCACCUUUUUAAAAUAUAACGCCUUAACAAAAAAAAAACAACAUCACUCAAUAGAUCUAACCCUUAUCUAAUGCUUUCUCAUCUUAACCAACAGAUGCCUCCCAAACCAGCUACCCGCUCUCAACCAAGUGGUCGUGCUGCUAGUAGACAAAGCCAAAAUCCAAAUGGAAGUCAAGCCAAUGCAAAUGUGGAUGGUAUUCAUGAAGAUGAAGUGAGUCAGACUAGGAACCAUAAUGAAGGAGAUGACUUGCCCCCUCCUCCAGUAAUUGACUUGGCACAAGUCAUGGCAACUCAGACUCGCCUUCUGGAGACCUUGGCUCAAGGCAUGAACCGCCCUAGGAACAACCGUGGAGCCGGAGUCCAAGACAAGAUGACUGAGUUCAUGAGGCUUAAGCCACCCACCUUUACUGGAUCUGACAACCCCAUGGAAGCAGAUGAUUGGCUUAAGGUGAUUGAAAGAAAGUUGGACACAAUCCACUGUGAUGGAAGGGAUAGAGUUCUGCUAGCAUCUCAUCAGCUGACAUGAAUUGCCCUUUCUUGGUGGGAAGCCUAUAGUGGAGCUGUGGACAAUGCCAACACGAUCACAUGGGAAGAAUUUGUGGAUGAAUUCCGCCGGUACCACAUUCCAGAUGGAAUCAUGAAGCUAAAGGCUGAUGAAUUUCGCAACUUGAAGCAAGGAAAUAAAACCCUGAGUGAAUACAUCUUCCAAUUCACUGAGUUGUCUCGCUAUGCCCCAGAAUUGGUCAACACUGAUGCUAAGAAGCAGACAAAGUUCAUAGAAGGAUUGACCUGUGAGCUUAGAACCCUCAUGACCCCACAGAUCUAUCCAGACUUCAACACCUUGAUGAACAGGACCAUUCUGACUGAUGUGGCCAAGACUGAAGAAAGGAAAGAGAACAAGCGCAAGUUUCUAGAGCGCAAGGUUCAAGAUGGUGCUAGAUCCCAGAGGCUGAAAACCUUUAGCCAACCAAGCCAGCGGACUCAAGCCCCAAUGCAGUUUCGCUCUCCUGCUAGUGUCUCCAAUAACCAAAUGCAGUCAUCAUAUCAGCCCAAGACAACCUAUCAGAAUCAAACUUAUGGCAAGACUCAACAGAACAGCAUUGGUCAAGUCACAAACAAUGUUAGGACUUGCUUUAAUUGCCAUGAGACUGGACACUACAUCGCCAACUGUCCCUACAAGAACAACCCACCAGCAGUAUCCACUCAGUCCCACACUGUUAAUGGACCAAGACCUGCAGUGUCUGGAGUCAACCGUGGUUUCCCUCGCAACAAUAGCAACACCAACAAUAAUAGCCAGAUGAUGAAGCAACCUCAACAAUCCUAUGGUAGAGCCCGUGUCAACCAUAUUCAUGCUCAGGAUGCUCAGACUGCUUCAGGAGUGGUACUUGGUGAGUUCUUAGUCGAUUCAGUACUUGCAACAGUAUUAUUUGAUUCUGGAGCAUCACAUUCAUUCAUAUCAUCAAGUUUUGUUGAGAAGCAUCAAAUACCCACAGUACUACUAAAGUUACCCCUAAUAACUCGAACACCUGGGUCUGACAUCAAAUGUCAUCUUGGUUGUUCAAAUGUAAGGAUCAUUCUAAGUGGAGUAGUUUUCUUAGGAGACUUAGUAGUGCUCAAGUCCAAAGGAAUAGAUGUUAUCCUUGGAAUGGAUUGGUUAACCAGACACAAUGGAAUUAUUAGUUGUGCAACCAAGGAAGUAUCAUUAGUUAACCAUGAAGGGAUUAAAGUGAAAUGCCAAACCCGAGGGUCUAAAGUUAAUCCAAUGGUCUUCAACUUGGAUGCAAGGACCAUAGAGGAAGUACCAAUAGUGCAAGAAUACCCUGAUGUAUUCCCUGAGGAACUACCUGGAAUGCCACCAGAUAGGGAUAUAGAGUUCAUCAUUGAUCUUAUCCCUGGGACUGCCCCCAUAGCCAAGAGACCUUACAGAAUGGCUCCGGCAGAGUUAGCUGAACUAAAAGAGCAGCUAAGAGAAUUGCAGCAGAAAGGUUAUAUUAGACCUAGUUCUUCACCAUGGGGAGCACCAGUCGUGUUUGUGAAGAAGAAAGAUGGAAGUAUGAGGAUGUGUGUGGAUUAUAGGUCCCUAAAUGAAGUCACCAUCAAGAAUAAGUAUCCCCUGCCAAGGAUAGAUGACCUUUUUGAUCAGCUUAAAGGAGCCAAGUAUUUCUCUAAGAUUGAUUUGAGAUCAGGUUAUCACCAGCUCAAGAUCAAGAAUAGUGAUGUUCCCAAGACAGCCUUUGUAACCAGAUAUGGACAAUAUGAGUUUACAGUGAUGUCCUUUGGAUUAACCAAUGCCCCUGCCUAUUUCAUGAACCUCAUGAAUAAGGUAUUCAUGGAAGAGUUAGAUAAGUUUGUUGUAGUCUUCAUUGAUGACAUACUUAUCUACUCUAAGAGUGCUGAAGAACAUGGGCAACACUUGAGAGUAGUGUUGGAAAAGCUAAGAAGACACAAGUUGUAUGCUAAAUUCAGCAAGUGUGAAUUUUGGCUUGAGAAGGUUGCAUUUCUAGGCCAUAUCUUGACAGCUGAAGGAGUUGCAGUUGACCCUGAGAAAGUAGAAGCUGUCUCCCAUUGGCAGCAACCCACCAAUGUGAGUGAGGUUAGAAGUUUUCUUGGAUUAGCUAGAUAUUAUCGAAGGUUUAUAGAAGGAUUUUCCAAGAUAGCCAGACCCAUGACAGAGCUUCUUAGGAAGGAUAAGAAAUUCACUUGGACAGAAUCAUGUGAGAAGAGUUUCCAAGAGUUGAAGAAGAGACUAACAACAGCACCAGUGUUAACCUUGCCAGACAUUCAUCAAGAUUUCAUCAUAUACUGUGAUGCCUCAAGACAAGGUUUAGGAUGUGUUCUCAUGCAAGGAGGAAAAGUGGUUGCUUAUGCAUCUCGUCAGCUUAGACCUCAUGAGCAAAAUUACCCUACCCAUGAUUUGGAGUUAGCAGCUAUAGUACAUGCUCUCAAGAUUUGGAGACACUACCUCAUUGGAAACAAGUGUGAAAUCUACACUGAUCACAAGAGUUUGAAGUACAUCUUCACACAGUCAGACUUGAACCUAAGGCAAAGAAGAUGGUUAGAAUUAAUCAAGGACUAUAACCUUGAGAUUCAUUACCACCCAGGAAAGGCCAACGUGGUAGCAGAUGCCCUAAGCAGAAAGUCAUAUGGUCAGCAGAAGAGAUAGCACAAUUGAACAUGCAUAUAGUACGCCAACCUCAAAAUGGCAGUCUAAUGGUGCAGCCAACUCUUGUGGAAGAAAUCAAGCAGACACAACAUAAGGAUAAGGAUCUGAUGAAGAUUCGUGAGCAAACUGGAGAAAAUAAAGCUCCAUACUUUAGAGUGGAUAACAAAGGAGUAUUGUGGUAUAAAAACAGAAUUUGUGUGCCCAAUGAGAGAAAGUUUCAAGAAUUAAUCCUUGAUGAAGCCCAUAACUCAGCUUAUUCUAUCCACCCUGGUGCCACCAAGAUGUACAUGGACCUAAAAGAAAGAUAUUGGUGGAAUGGCAUGAAAGCUGAUGUGGCACGAUUUAUUGCACAAUGUGAUGUAUGCCAAAGGGUUAAAGCAGAGCAUCAGAAACCAGCAGGCUUGCUCCAGCCAUUGCCUAUUCCUGUUUGGAAAUGGGAUGAGAUAGGCAUGGAUUUUGUGAAUGGAUUACCCAAAACUCUGAAAGGAAAUGAUUCAAUAUGGGUAAUAGUGGACCGCCUUACAAAGGUUGCUCACUUCAUACCUGUACGCACCAAAUAUAGUGGAGACAAGUUAGCCCAGCUAUAUGUGGAUAACAUAGUCAAAUUGCAUGGUGUGCCAAGUAGGAUUGUAUCUGACCGAGGUACCCAAUUUACCUCUAAGUUCUGGAAAAGUUUGCAUGAAGCUAUGGGAACCAAGCUAGAUUUUAGCUCAGCUUAUCAUCCUCAAACAGAUGGUCAGACUGAAAGAAUAAAUCAGAUUAUGGAAGAUAUGCUAAGAGCAUGUGUGCUCACGUAUGGUAAAGAUUGGGAGAAAAGCCUAACUUAUGCAGAGUUCUCCUAUAAUAAUAGUUACCAAGCUAGUUUGGGCAUGUCACCUUUUGAGGCCCUAUAUGGAAGAAAAUAUAGAACCCCAUUGAUGUGGUCAGAAGUUGGAGAACGAACUUUGCUUGGACCAGCCCUUAUAAAAGAAGCAGAAGAUCGUGUAGCUGAAAUCAGAGAAAAAUUGAAAGAGGCACAAUCACGUCAAAAGAGCUAUUCUGAUAAAAGAAGGCGGGAGUUAAGUUUUGCAGUUGGAGAUUUUGUGUAUGUCAAAGUCUCUCCUAUUCGAGGAACUCGAAGGUUCCAAGUUAGAGGCAAGCUAGCACCACGGUAUAUUGGACCAUAUCAAGUAUUACAGAAGAUUGGAGCUGUAGCCUAUCGUGUUCAGCUACCUGAAGAAAUGUCAGAUAUACACAAUGUGUUUCAUGUCUCCCAAUUGAAGAAAUGUCUCAGAGUACCAGAGGAACAAAUAUCGCCAGAUACAGUUGAUUUACAAGAUGACCUAAGAUAUCAAGAAGUGCCAAUAAAAAUCCUAGACACAGUCACCAAGCAAACUCGAACGACCACAGUCCGAAUUUGUCGUGUUCAAUGGAGUAGACACACAGAAGCAGAAGCAACAUGGGAAAGAGAGGAUGCCCUGAGAAAAGAGUUUCCCCAUCUAUUUAGGACCCAGCCGAAUCUCGAGGACGAGAUUCCUUUUAAGUGGGGUAGGUUUGUAGCAUCCCAAAAAUUCACAUUCAAAAAUCACUCGCAUUAAAAAAAUUAUUUUCAAAAUAUAUUUCAAAAACUAUAAAUCAUUUGAGCUCUAUAGUAUCUCCAUCUAAUUCUUUUUCCAUCCAUUCUAAUUAUCCAUCUUUAAAUAUAACCUGCACCGCAUGGCAUGAGCAUCAUAUGUCCGCUACUUAUCCCUCUUGCUCGCUCGCUCUGCCCGAUACCCGGCAACGGCGCGUGCGCCGACCCCACCACCAUCAGCGCCGCAGCGCACUCACGCCCGGCCCCCUCGCCGAGCGCACUCGCUCGCGCGCGCACCGCGGCAUGCGGGCCCCACCUCUUGCCUUUUCCCGCGCCUCUUUUGCUGUACAAAAAGAUAGCAAGUACCAGCAAGCUUACAUGCGAGAAAACAUAGCAGUGCACCUACACGAAUAUAUAUCUCAUGCAUGCAUGCAGGACAAGCAUGCCACCGUCCAUUUGCAUGCACCUGCAUGCAAAGGACAUGGUGAUUAGGCACCGUCCAUUUGCACGCACCGUGCAUGCAAAUGAGACAUUGCCAUUUGCAUGAAAAUUAGGCACCGUCCACCGUCCUGUCGUCCUGUGUAGCCAUGCACUACAGUAGCAAUUCUAAUGGCACGAAGCUGAGCACCAGAGGCAUAACCUCACUCCUCUGGCUAUAAAAAGCCAGCCUCGGAUGCUCACUCUCACCACCCGAGAAACACGUUCACUCACUCGCUCACUCACUCUCACUUCGCGUAUACCGUAUACGGCCAUACGCACAAGCUGAGCUCGACUGUCGUCGCAAGACGAGGUGAGCAGCUCAUGAGCAUCUCCUUGCUCUUCUCUGUCUUUCUGUAGUUUUUUUUCUGUAUUUUUCCAUGUAUUUGUCUGUACCGGUUCACUGCCAAGAAUUCCACGAAUAGAACCAUGACAUACAGAAGAGUUCUAAUGACCCCUGCUAAUUUCUCUCUAACCAUGCAUGUGUGGGCCAAGCAUUAACUCCAAAUAGUACAUGCAUGCAUGCAACAUGCACUACCAGCCAAACAAAUGCCCACGUGAAGCAUCCAUUCCUUAAUCAUCGUUAGCCUUUUUCGCAUGAUUAAGUUCCGGCCAUUUCACAAAUGCCACAUGCUAACUCUGAUUUCAAUAAUUCUUUUUCCUAAAUUCAUCUAAAAUCAUGAUCUACCUUCCAUAUUAAUUUCAUGAUUUUUGGAGCUCAUUUAAAUUUAUAUGAUUAUUUAUCUGUGCCUGUUGUCUGUGUCGUUCGUCGCGUAUUUUAGUUGACGGAGUGAACGAGCCGGAAAACGAGAACGUUGGAGACGAGUACCGCGAGUUUGACGCCGAGGACCCGGACUGUCAGCAGGAGUUUACCGAGGACGCCGACGGAGGCAAGUCCAACCGAUCCCCUUUGAUGCAUAUUGAUCCUAUUUUUAAACACAACCCGUAGAAGCCGUUUUAAAUAUUGCAUGUACGAUAUAUGUACGGAGUAUUUUUGCUGCUUAGUUAAAACCUGUUGAAUAGCCAUCCUUGAAUUGAUAUUACCCGGUAAUUGUCUUGUUCGAACCUAGGAACAAAUAAUAUGCUAUGACAGAAAUAUUAUUAUUUAGUAUGCUUAGGACUUGUUACUCAUCCUGUAUACUCAUCGCUAUAUUUUUCAAAUAUAAUGAUUUUAAAAGUAAAAGGUGUGAGUGGUGAAAAUAAAUUGUGGGUAUUGUGAAAGGGUUAAUGGACAAGUUAUAGAUGUGAUCUCUAUGGAGAUGGGGCGGAUGGGAUCUCUUUUGGGAUGCCCUGGUGUUGUGGCUUAUACCUUGCGGGGUUAAGCGUGAAGAUAUCCGCCUUGUCUCGAUUAAGGACUGAGUUGAUGAUUCAUCUUGCCUAACUCAUUUAUCGUACAACCACUCGCCUUGCAUGGGAAAGGCUUAGUCUAAAUCCCUCUAGUUAGUAUGGCAAUCACCUGGAGGCAGGUGUGCAACGGGACACUAAGUGAUGUAUGUGAAAUUGUGGAAAUAUAUGAAAAGAGCUUUGUGAAUUAUUGUGGUAUCAUGAGAUGUGGCCUUAGUGUUCCCGUGGUGAGCGUCAUUACUUAGCUAUGGAGGGUAAUGACUUUGAUGGAUCUGUGCUUGCACGACGGUGUAAGUUAUGGUAUCCUACUUGUGGGAAAAGUGUACAACCUCUGCAGAGUGUAAAUCUAUCUGGAUAGCCGUGUCCGCGGUCUCGGACGGGUUAUGGUUUGGUUUCAACAACUAGAUGGGUUGGGAUGAGUGAAAACAUGUGAGAGAGUGUGAUUUUGGAAAUAAAUGGUUGACUGCCAUUGUGUUGUGGAAACAAGGGUUCAACAACACUUAAAAGUGUGAUCAAACCCCCAUUUUCAGAAAUACUAUCAUAUGUGGAAAAAGAGGUCUUUUACAACAGUAUUUGUGAAAUGAAACCUUGCAUGUGUAAAAAGAUAGCUUUAUGCAAAUAAAACUAAGCCUCAUCCUUGAUUUAUCCAUAUACAUAUAUACUGUUAUCCCCUUCCGUAGGGUAAGGUUGGAUUUGCUGAGUACUUUGUACUCACCCUUGCUUUAUUAAACAGAGGAAGAUCCGGACUUCGAUCCCGAAGUGGCGUUCGAGUAAGGUCGUGUCUGCACCCAACUAAGCCUGUGGCAUUGGGACUCGUCAGAUGUUCGAUGGCGAUAUCGUUUGUUUCUGGGUCCUUUGGACCUGUGUUGUAUUUUGGUGUCUUAUUAUUAUAGCGUGCCUUCCUUGUCCACGCUUUCCAAGACUACUGCGCUGAAACUUAUCUGAUGUAAUAAAUGUGUUACUAGCCUCCUGGGACUAGUAUUGUAUCACAUUUGAGUUCCUGGUUUACCAGGGGCGCUUCACUAAGCAAUUUCAUGGCCAAACUCAUCAAUUGGGGAGCAGACUGUCCAUGAUUUGUCCACCAAGUCAUAGGGGAAACAGCCCAUCUAUCAUGGAUUGAAUCAGGAUCAUUAAAUUCUUCUGAACAACUAGAGAACCUUGAGUCUUUUACUUUAGCCAAUUCAUCUGACAUGGGAAAGAACUUCUUGAAGCAAACCAUCCUCAUUUUUGAUACCUCUUUAUCCUUGUGGGGUGGUUCACGGCCUGGACCUUCUUCAAGCCACUUUUUGCUAUAAUAUCUGCAAUUAGCAAUUCAGCAAUAUGGUUUUAGUGAAUGAAAAAAAUCUGCACAGACUAUUCAAGUGAAUGAAAAAAAUCUCAAUGGCAAUUUGUACCUUGGAUUAAGUGAAUGAGCUAAACAAUGAAGUGGAUUAUUUCCAUUUGUCCACCUAGCAAUCAAUAUGUCAUAAAUAACCGAGUACAAGUCUGAUUGCUCAUCUUCUUGCUUUCCCUCAUAUCGAUAUAUGACUUUCUUCACUUUCUCUAUCAUUGAAUCCCACAUCUCAUAAACUAAGUGAAGACAUGGUGUGUCGGUGUCUGUCAAACGAAUCAUUUCAUAUAUAGGAGUAGUGAUCUUAAGAAUGUAGUCCACCUUGUCCCACCAUACAUCAUUAAGUAUCAAGUCCUUGACAAUUUGGGCUGUUGGAGUUGGAGAAUCAUCUCUGACUUCUCUGUACACACUCCAUUUGUCACUAAUCACCAUUUGUUGAAGGGCUGAUUUUACCUCAACAAACCGCUUCAACAUACAUACAACAGAGGCAAAUCUUGUUUCAGCAAUAGAAAGUAACUUCAAACGGCCGAACUCAUUGAACAUUGAAAGCCGCAUGCCAUGAUUCAUAAUGAAAUUCUUUAUCAUAGCAGCCUCAGUUUUAACAUCAUGUAUAAAUUCAAGUUGCCCCCAAGUAAAUAAUUCUUCAUCAGAAGGAUUGUUUCCUAUUUUAGGUUCACAUAUACUUUUCAAAGCAAGAUUGAGGGUGUGCACAACACAUGGUGUCCAAAAUAUGUUAUCAUACUCAGAUUCUAUUAUGAGACCAGCACCUUUGCAAUUUGCAGCAUUGUCUGUAAUGAUUUGAACUACAUUAUGUCGACCUACUUCUUCAAUUAUGCCCUUCAACUUUUCUGCAAUGUAUUCUUUGGAUUUGUAAUCACCUUCACAAUUAUCAGCCCUCAAGAACAUAGGUGACUUGUCAGAAACAGCAACAAAAUUAAUGAUUGGUCGCCUCUGAGGAUCAGACCAACCAUCAGAGCAGAUUGUGACUCCCUUCUCUGCCCAUGUGCUCUUUGUGCUCUCCAAAGUCUCUAUGUGCCUCCUUUCUUGCUUCAAAAGUCCCUCUCUAACUCUGUUGUAACCAGGAAUCACAUAACCUUGCAUGUUGCGGCUGCAAGCAAAGGUAAAGGCUUCUCGAAGAUAUGGAUUUCUCAGAAAAUUGAACGAUACCCCUCCAGAAUAAAUUGCUCUACUGAUUAAAGCAUCCAAGUGCUUACGGUCUUCCAAAGCCCAAGCCUUUUCCAAUGCAGAAACAGGCCCUGUCUUGUUUCUCUUGUUGCCGUCAGUAUUGCUUGAGGAAGGAGCAGUAGGCAAAGAAACAGUUCUUGACUUGGAUCUUUCCACUAGAUUCUUGCACCUUUCAAUUUCCUUCCUCAUUUCACUAAGCAUUUCAUAUGUAACAUUAGGACAUUUACCUAUUCCCUUUCCUCCCUUCUGCAGCAAAUGAGCUUCAACUCUAGUGUAACUACUCAGUUUUUGCAUUGGACAGUACUUGCAGCGCCACAUAGCAUUCCCUCCACCAGUUCUAGGCUUCUCCAGAAUGGUGACAUGAUCCCAAAGUGGAGCCUUGAUGUCUGUUGUAUUUGUGGCUGCAGAUCCUAUGCUAUGACUAGCACUUGCACUAGCGUUGCUCAUAUUUGGAGAUGCCAUCUACUGCAUACAAGAAUACAAGCAACAAGAACUCACUAACUGCAUAUCGAGGGGGCAAAGAAAUUCGUCACUGGAACCACAAGAUGAGGAACAACUGAAGAAGGGGAUGAACUCACGGGAAGAGGAGAUUGAGAACAGAGAAGGGAGUGAACUCACAGGAGUUCCCCGGAUCCACGUCGCAGGGAUGGAGCCUCGUCGCCGGUGGCCGGCGAGCGGAGGCGGAGGCUCGUCGCGGUGGCCGGCGAGCGGGGAUAAGACUCGUCGCCGGUGGCCGGCAGCGGAGGCGGAGGCGCGUCGCCGGUGGCCAGCGAGCGGAGGCGGAGGCUCGUCGCGGUGGCCGGCGGGCAGCGAGCAGGGGAGGCGCAGCCGCGCGGGAUGCGAGUGCGACGGCGCGACGCGAGCGAGCAGGGGAUGUCCAGGUUAGGGCGUGGCGUCGGGGAUAGGAUAUGCCCCUGUUAUUGGGCUGGGCCGUAUCCCCAAGGCUGAUACGUAUCAGCCCACGUAUCAGAUAAUUGCGAAAAUAAUAAAAAUUUGGAUACUUCCAGGAUACGUAUCCAUGCCGUAUCAGACACGUAUCCGUAUCCGAAACGUAUCGGAUACGCGAUACGCGCCUUCCUGCAAGUAUCCGUGUAACAUAGGUUUGCAAGCUUCAGAACUGAAGCUACGGCAAGAGAUUACACCUCAUAAGACGUGGACAGUGAAUAAACAGUAACAAGUCAAUACACAUGCUCGUUCUAUAGUGAAUUCAGUUCAAAGUGAAUACCGAACUGUUUUUUCACCUCUUCUUUCAGAGUUUCAGUAGGUUGUGCAGCUCACCUCA
This 15270-nucleotide long non-coding RNA is filed under the name Sorghum bicolor (sorghum). RNAcentral's name for it is "long non-coding RNA (SBIC_LNC015267)". Lineage: Eukaryota; Viridiplantae; Streptophyta; Magnoliopsida; Poales; Poaceae. The record is from RNAcentral.